Molecule: long non-coding RNA, 243 nt
Organism: Poecile atricapillus (Black-capped chickadee)
Lineage: Eukaryota; Metazoa; Chordata; Aves; Passeriformes; Paridae
Exons: 3
Source: RefSeq, a predicted model, not a curated record
CGGGCAGCUUGGAGGGGUCUUGGGCGGGUCUUGGGGGGGUCUUUCUCCAGCGCUGACCACCACUGGUCCACCUGGGCCAGGAGUGUCCGGUGUCCCUGGGAGGGUCGGGCAGCACUCACGGGAUGAGCUGGACCAGGUUCCUCACGGCUCCUCCCACAAGGCACAAAGACCCCCCCAGCUGCAGCGGGGUCACCCCCGCUGGUCACCCCAGGACCCGGCCAGGACCGCGCCCCACCGCCUGUU